Molecule: ribosomal RNA, 137 nt
Filed under: Compactochlorella dohrmannii
Lineage: Eukaryota; Viridiplantae; Chlorophyta; Trebouxiophyceae; Chlorellales; Chlorellaceae
Description: partial 28S ribosomal RNA
Rfam family: Eukaryotic large subunit ribosomal RNA
Source: RNAcentral
UCGACCUGAGCUCAGGCAAGAUUACCCGCUGAACUUNAGCAUAUCAAUAAGCGGAGGAAAAAGAAACUAACCAGGAUUCCCNUAGUAACGGCGAGUGAACCGGGNAAGAGCCCAGCUUGAAAAUCUCCAGCCCCCGG